This is a long non-coding RNA of Vespula vulgaris, 2166 nucleotides long. RefSeq lists it as uncharacterized. The transcript has 3 exons. The record is from RefSeq and is a predicted model, not a curated record. NCBI's taxonomy places the organism in Eukaryota, Metazoa, Arthropoda, Insecta, Hymenoptera, Vespidae.
UAGUGGGGAAAAAUUAACAGCGCAUGCUCGAUUGAAUGUCAAGAACUAUAUAAGGAGGGUACAAGCUCUCCGAAGACUUGAGUAAGUUGAGCAUUCUGAAUCGAGACUUCGCCGUGGCAAGUCAUAAGGAUUUCAGAAUGAGAACGUUCAAGAGUAUUUUAUAACUAGUCACAAUUAUGGAAAUCAUCUAUAUUAUUUUAGACAACUUCCACCAGAUGGGACAUGUAUUAUAUGCAUAUAUAUAGAAACACUUUCUUUCUAAACGCAAUUAUAUAAAUCUUCUAUAUUAUUUUAAAUAACUUGUUUUCGGUAAAAUAAAUCAUAUUUCAAUUUUUUUUAACAAUCUAUCGAUCAUAGUGCAAUAUUAAAGGCUAAUUGUUUUUUUACAGUCAGUAAUAUCUGAUUAUAUUGAAGAUAGAACAAGAUAGAUGAAUGAUAGAACUAUUUGAGUAGAUAAAGGAAGGUGGAACUAUUUUCGCUAGUCCUUUAUCUAUGUUUAUUUCGUAAUGUAAAAAAGUAAAAAGUAAACAUCGAAAAACUUUCUUUCUAAACGUGAAUACUUGACAAUUAAUACUUUCGGCAAUUUUACAUUUAUAUAAAUAAUACGCGGAAUUGAGUAAAAUAAUAUGUAAAUAACAGUACAUUCGUUGAAACGUUACAAAACAAGGAACGCGAGUUAAACGUAAAAUAGCUUUUCUUUAAUUUUUAAUUCGAAAUAGUUGCCAAUAUCUAAUAAUAACAUAAACAAAUCUUUGUUUGAAUUUGAUUUGACUUCGUUUCUGCGUUAGUUCUCCUUGGUCCUCCGACGGGCAGACAUCUCUAAAAAAAACUACAUUAACGUAGUUUGACUCAUAUAUAUAUAAAUUUAAUUAGAUAUAAGUACAUACGCAUAUAUAAAUAUAUAUAGCUAUGUACUUAUAUCUAAUUAUAUUUAUAUAUCUGUAUAUCUAUGUAUGCAUUUAUACAUUUACAAUCUAUCUAUAUGUAUCUAAUACAAUCCUGGAAAAGAAGAUCAACAAAAUUUGAUUCCUAAAAAUGAAAUGAUCGAAAGGAUACGCAUAUUGAUAUGGAAAAUGAUCGAUAGGAAAAAUCAAAAGAAGAAAAAGGAAUCAAUGAAAAAAAAAGGAAGAUAAAAACACACAAAAAUUUCCCGUAAAAGUAAUAUCGAUCCAAAAUUAUUGGUAAUCUUGUGACGAGAUUACCGGAAAAGAUAAGCACGUCAAUUGAUCAACAAUCUGAAUGAUUUAAAAAAGAAUUCAAACUAUUUGACGAGAGUUUGAUAAGUUUAUUCUGAAUCGAAACACGAGCGUAACCAUUACUAAAAGUUUAAAAAGAGUAAGGACGAUCUAGGAAAAGAAGGAAGCAUACAAAAUCUCAGAAAUACCCAUAAAUUUGAAAUCAAUAUUGAGAAUUGCUGGUGAUAUUCUGCACUUCAUGUUUUUGUGAGAGAGCUUCGAUGUCUGCCCGUCGGAGGACCAAGGAGAACUAAUCCAGUAACGAAGUCAAAUCAAAUUCAAACAAAGGUUUGUUUAUGUUAUUAUUAGAUAUUGGCAACUAUUUCGAAUUAAAAAUUAAAGAAAAGCUGUUUUACGUUUAACGCGCGUUCCCUGUUUUGUAACGUUUCAACGAAUGUACUGUUAUUUACAUAUUAUUUUACUCAAUUCCGCGUAUUAUUUAUAUAAAUGUAAAAUUGCCGAAAGUAUUAAUUGUCAAGUAUUCACGUUUAGAAAGAAAGUUUUUCGAUGUUUACUUUUUACUUUUUUACAUUACGAAAUAAACAUAGAUAAAGGACUAGCGAAAAUAGUUCCAUCUUCCUUUAUCUACUCAAAUAGUUCUAUCAUUCAUCUACUUGCUCUAUCUUCAAUAUAAUCAGAUAUUACUGACUGUAAAAAAACAAUUAGCCUUUAAUAUUGCACUAUGAUCGAUAGAUUGUUAAAAAAAAUUGAAAUAUGAUUUAUCUUACCGAAAACAAGUUGUUUAAAAUAAUAUAGAAGAUAUCUAUAAUUGCGACUGGUUGCCUGCUGAAAUAUUAUUAUUGAUCGUUUCUCUUCUGGAAUUCCUUAUAACUUGUCGCUGCGAGGAAUCGAUUUAGAAUUAUCAGUUUGUUCAACACUCGAUGAUAUUUUGUACACCGAUUCAAUGAAUAAAGUAAAUUAAAAUAUAAAA